Molecule: ribosomal RNA, 253 nt
Filed under: uncultured bacterium
Lineage: Bacteria
Description: partial 16S ribosomal RNA
Rfam family: Bacterial small subunit ribosomal RNA
Source: RNAcentral
GACGAACCGAGCGAACGUUAUUCGGAAUAACUGGGCUUAAAGGGUGCGUAGGCGGGCUGUCAAGUCUGGGGUGAAAUCCGGCAGCUUAACUGUCGAACUGCCUUAGAUACUGAUGGCCUCGAGGGGGGUAGGGGCAUGCGGAACUGUAGGUGGAGCGGUGAAAUGCGUUGAUAUCUACAGGAACUCCGGUGGCGAAAGCGGCGUGCUGGACCCCUUCUGACGCUGAGGCACGAAAGCUAGGGGAGCAAACGGG